CUUUACUGGAAGCUCAUCAGAAGCAGACCCUAUGACCUCUGGCCUUGACAAUCAACUGAACCACAUUUGUCCUUGGCACAAUGGAGAGAGAACUGGAAUCAAGAGAGAAGAUGAUGACAGAGUGAGAGUGAGCCACGAGUCCUGCAGGCUAGAGAGCAGGGUCUUCAAGACAGGAGGUCAGAACUGAACUCAAGAAGGGCCGAGGCUGAGGGAGGAGGAGAUAUGAUGACCUCCACACUCAGGGAUCAAAGAGGGGAGGAGGAAGACGCCAUCAGCUCUUUAGGCAGCAGAUGAUGACAUGACCAGGACCGUUCUUUGCACUUCUUUGUGAAAAAAAAAAUUAUUGCAUGAUCUGGACUUUCAUCCAGAGGGGACUGGCAUGG
Non-coding RNA from Sus scrofa (pig), 383 nucleotides. Lineage: Eukaryota; Metazoa; Chordata; Mammalia; Artiodactyla; Suidae. The record is from RefSeq and is a predicted model, not a curated record.